GACGAACGCUGGCGGCGUGCUUAACACAUGCAAGUCGAGCGGUAAGGCCCUUUCGGGGGUACACGAGCGGCGAACGGGUGAGUAACACGUGGGUGACCUGCCCUCAGCUCUGGGAUAAGCCCGGGAAACUGGGUCUAAUACUGGAUAUGACUCCACGGUGCAUGCCGUGGGGUGGAAAGCCUUGUGCGGCUGAGGAUGGGCCCGCGGCCUAUCAGCUUGUUGGUGGGGUGAUGGCCUACCAAGGCGACGACGGGUAGCCGGCCUGAGAGGGCGACCGGCCACACUGGGACUGAGACACGGCCCAGACUCCUACGGGAGGCAGCAGUGGGGAAUCUUGCGCAAUGGGCGAAAGCCUGACGCAGCGACGCCGCGUGAGGGAUGACGGCCUCCGGGUUGUAAACCUCUUUCAGCUCCGACGAAGCGAAAGUGACGGUAGGAGCAGAAGAAGCACCGGCCAACUACGUGCCAGCCGCCGCAGUAA
RNAcentral lists this ribosomal RNA (481 nucleotides) under uncultured bacterium. RNAcentral describes it as "bacterial SSU rRNA". It matches the Rfam family "Bacterial small subunit ribosomal RNA", at positions 28 to 523 of the family's 1533-position model. The record is from RNAcentral.